UGGGAAGGUAAAAAAACGUAACAAGGUUUCCGUAGGUGAACCUGCGGAAGGAUCAUUAAAAAUUUAAUUGUUUACACGUUUACGUUUAACAUAUACAACUAACCAACUUAAUUAUGUCAACAACAACAACCAAAAAUCAAAACUUUCAACAACGGAUCUCUUGGUUCUCGCAUCGAUGAAGAACGCAGCGAAAUGCGAUAAGUAAUAUGAAUUGCAGAUUUUCGUGAAUCAUCGAAUCUUUGAACGCACAUUGCACCUUGUGGUAUUCCACAAGGUAUGCCUGUUUGAGCGUCAUUUCUCCCUCAACCCCCGCGGGUUGGCGUUGAAUGGCACGAGCUCUUAGUCAGUCCAUUCGAAAAGUAUUUUUCUUGUGUUGUUAUUUUCUAAUUUAGUAGUGACAACCACACUAAAAACACAUUCCUCAAAUCAGGUCUAUAUCCUUAACCCGCGA
RNAcentral lists this ribosomal RNA (451 nucleotides) under Hyphopichia burtonii. Its description in RNAcentral is "eukaryotic LSU rRNA". The stretch from base 141 to 294 matches the Rfam family "5.8S ribosomal RNA". Lineage: Eukaryota; Fungi; Ascomycota; Pichiomycetes; Serinales; Debaryomycetaceae. The record is from RNAcentral.